GCUUAGUUGGUAGAGUACAAAGCUCUUAACCUUGUGGGCGUGGGUUCGAGCCCCAU
This 56-nucleotide transfer RNA is filed under the name Triticum aestivum (bread wheat). It matches the Rfam family "tRNA", at positions 10 to 63 of the family's 71-position model. Rfam says of the family: Transfer RNA (tRNA) molecules are approximately 80 nucleotides in length. Their secondary structure includes four short double-helical elements and three loops (D, anti-codon, and T loops). Further hydrogen bonds mediate the characteristic L-shaped molecular structure. tRNAs have two regions of fundamental functional importance: the anti-codon, which is responsible for specific mRNA codon recognition, and the 3' end, to which the tRNAs corresponding amino acid is attached (by aminoacyl-tRNA synthetases). tRNAs cope with the degeneracy of the genetic code in two manners: having more than one tRNA (with a specific anti-codon) for a particular amino acid; and 'wobble' base-pairing, i.e. permitting non-standard base-pairing at the 3rd anti-codon position. RNAcentral also lists the same sequence under 1 other name. Lineage: Eukaryota; Viridiplantae; Streptophyta; Magnoliopsida; Poales; Poaceae. The record is from Rfam by way of RNAcentral.